ACAGCUCGAGACGCGUUCCUCAGCAGUCCCGUCCCGUUCAUGAUUUGUACAUAGAGCCCCGGCCGGCAAUAAUAGACAAAAUUGUUUUUCCUUCAUGAUCACCAUCAACCUCCUCGAAACCAAAGAAAGAAAAAAGAAAGCCUCCACAAUAUUUGAAAAGUUUCUCCUGGACAGUCUUUACCAUCUGCAUUCAUGUCUGGAUCCCACACUCAGUAUAAUUUGUUGGAGGGAAGAAUAAAAAAAGUCUGCAACAGAACCUCAGAGACAAUUUCACACAUCUGUUCCUGCAGGGAAGGGUGUGGAUUUUGGCUCCAUUCAAACAAUAUGACAUCAAAAAUAAAAUGACAAGAAAGAAGAGAAUUUUGUCUCAUUUUGAUUAUAAAUGCCAUAAAUGAAAGUUGGGUUCCAGAGAAGACAUCUCACUAUAUCAAACCUAGCCAAGCUAAACAAAUAAACAAAUAAAACAAACAAGCAAGCAAAUAAACACAACUUCAAAACAAAUCACAAAACUGAAGACAAAUGUGGGAUCUCAUCCUGCUGAGAUUUUUACCUCAGAUGCUUUUACAGAGGGUUUUGACCGCAGAUCAUGGUGGACAGUAUACUGAGAGGGCACUUCCCAAGAACAGUGGUUUCUUGGGAUCCAGUAUGCUAAUAGGACUAUCCUAUAUUUGGUCAAGUUUCCAGUUGUUUUUCUCCACUGGUUCAGGACUUUUGUCUUAUAAGGUCAUGUUCUGAGUUCACGUUCGUGAUUGGACCUUUGUCCUCACAAGCCUGUCGGAGUUUGCCCCGCCCAGGGGUCUUUGGAAUCUAGUACGUGUAACCUGCAGUUUUCAAGUUGGUUAUUUUCGUUAUUAAAGUUUUUAUUUUCUGGGCUUGUCCAUCACUUCCGUUCCUCAUUUUUUAGCCAGCAUCUCCUGGUGAAGACAAGCAAGGAGAUCACACUGAGCUUCGAAGCUCCAUAAAAAAAAGCCGCACAUUUCCACAUUUUAGUUAGCGGCAAGGAAUUAGGGAACAGAAUCUGCCUCAAGGGAGGGACUAGUUAUGAAAGUGAAGUAGAAAAUAUACUGAUCUGAGGAAGUCCUGAGAAAGUUUGGCCUGACCAAAUGUCUUGGUAAGGGAUGAGUUUGUUGAGUUGUAGUCUCACAGACAUUAGUAAAUUGUAAUAAAAAAAUUGAAAAAUAUUGAAACUCAGGACACUAACUGUAUAAAGAUUUUCUGAACAAAAAGACAUUAUUUUAAACAGAGCAUUAGUGGUUGUGUUGGGUUUGCAUGGCAUGAUUUGGGUAGCGGGGGACCACAGAGGUGGCUUCUGUGAGAAGCUACCAGAAGCUUCUGCCAUGUCUGGCAGAGACAGUCCCUGAUGGCUCUGAAGAUGGACAUGCUGCUGGCCAAAGCUGGUCUAAUUAAAGAUGAUGGUAACACCUCUGGGAUAACAUAUUUAAGAAGAAAAUAAAAACAAAGUGGAGUACAGUGUUAAUUCCAGCUAGACAAGAUGAGGAGGUGAGAAAUGUGAGGGAAAACAACAUGGAGACACCAAGGUCAGUGGAGAAGGACAGGGAGGAGCUGCUCCAGGCACCAGAGCCGAGAUUCCUCUGCAGGCUGUGGUGAGACCAUGCUGAAGCAGCUGUGCCCCUGCAGCCCAUGGGUCCACAGGGAAUGCAGAGAUCCACCUGCAGCCCAUGGAGGAGGUGCCCAUGCUGGAGUGGGUGGAUGGCUGGAGGAGGCUGUGAUGCAGUGGGAGACCCAGUGGAGAGAGGGCCCUUGCUUCCAGGCUGGAGCAGCCUGACCUUGGAGGACUGCACCCCGCUGAAAGAGAGAGACCCAUGCCACAGCAGUUUUGGGAGGACUGUUAGCCAAUGGGAGGAAAUCAUGUUGCUGCAGUUUUGGGAGAACUGCUGCUUGUGAGAUUGGAACCACACUGGAAAAGGAAGGGACCCCACGGCCUCAUAGGGGAAGGACUCCUCUUCCUGAGCAGUGGAAGAAUGCCUUUGGUGACAAAAUGACCAAACUUCUCAUGCCUAGUCCCCUGUGCUGUCGGUGGGAAGGAGGGGUGGCUGGGAUGAAAAACAUGUUUUAAGAACUUAUUUUACUUCUCAUUAACCUCCUCUGAUUUGUUAGUAAUAAAUUCACUAUGUACUUCUGAGCUGA
This is a long non-coding RNA of Vidua chalybeata, 2148 nucleotides long. RefSeq lists it as uncharacterized. Lineage: Eukaryota; Metazoa; Chordata; Aves; Passeriformes; Viduidae. The transcript is spliced from 3 exons. The record is from RefSeq and is a predicted model, not a curated record.